RNAcentral lists this ribosomal RNA (1545 nucleotides) under human gut metagenome. RNAcentral's name for it is "bacterial LSU rRNA". It matches the Rfam family "Bacterial large subunit ribosomal RNA", at positions 915 to 2487 of the family's 2925-position model. The record is from RNAcentral.
UGGAUGCGGGGGCUUCACCGCCUACCAAAUCCUGACAAACUCCGAAUGCCAGUAGUAUGAUUUACAGCAGUGAGUGACUGGGUGCUAAUGUCCAGUCGCAAAAGAGGAACAACUCAGACCAGCAACUAAGGUCCCGAAGAAUAUGCUAAGUUGAUCUAACGAUGUUUUGUUGCAGAGACAGCUAGGAUGUUAGCUUGGAAGCAGCUAUUCAUUCAAAGAGUGCGUAACAGCUCACUAGUCGAGCGACAGAGCGUGGAUAAUAAACGGGCAUCAAGCAUAUCACCGAAGUUCUGGGCGCGAGAGCGCGGUAGGGGAGCAUUCCAUUCAGCGUCGAAGCAGUUUCGUGAGGAAUUGUGGAGCGUAUGGAAAAGCAAAUGUAGGCAUGAGUAACGAUAAUGCGGGAGAGUAACCCGCACACCGCAAGACCAAGGUUUCCUGAUCAACGCUAAUCGGAUCAGGGUUAGUCGGGUCCUAAGGGUAAGCCGAACGGCGAUCUCGAUGGAUAAUCGGUUAAUAUUCCGAUACUAACAUAUACCUCGAUGGAGAGACGAAGGAACGUAAGUGCCGCCACCUGACGGAAUAGGUGGUUAAAGGGCGUAGGUAUAGGGGCAGAUUAAGAGUUAGUCCUUGCUGAAACCUGACAGUACAGAGAGCCUACGGGCAAUUUGAUAGAGCACCCAAGUCGACUUCCGAGAAAAUCUUCUAAGUUAUAGUAUAUGUUACCCGUACCGUAAACCGACACAGGUGGUCGAGGAGAGUAUCCUAAGGUGCUCGAGUGAAUCACGGUUAAGGAACUAGGCAAAUUAACCCCGUAACUUCGGGAAAAGGGGUCCCUAUGAAAGUAGGGCGCAGCGAAGAGGUCCAGGCGACUGUUUAUCAAAAACACAGGGCUCUGCAAAUUCGAAAGAAGACGUAUAGGGCCUGACACCUGCCCGGUGCUGGAAGGUUAAGAGGGGAUGUCAUCGCAAGAGAAGCAUUGAAUCGAAGCCCCAGUAAACGGCGGCCGUAACUAUAACGGUCCUAAGGUAGCGAAAUUCCUUGUCGGGUAAGUUCCGACCUGCACGAAUGGUGUAACGAUCUGGACACUGUCUCAACCGUGAGCUCGGUGAAAUUGUAGUCCCGGUGAUGAUGCCGGGUACCCGCAACGGGACGAAAAGACCCCGUGAACCUUUACUAUAGCUUAACGCUGAAUUUGGGUACACAAUGUGUAGGAUAGGCAGGAGACUAUGAAGCGGGUACGCCAGUAUUCGUGGAGUCAACGUUGAAAUACUGCCCUUUGUGUAUUUGAGUUCUAACCCUCAAGAGGGGACACCGUUUGGUGGGUAGUUUGACUGGGGUGGUCGCCUCCAAAAGAGUAACGGAGGCUUCCCAAGGUACCCUCAGCACGAAUGGUAACCGUGCGUAGAGUGCAAUAGCAUAAGGGUGCUUGACUGUGAGACCAACAAGUCGAUCAGGUGCGAAAGCAGGGUAUAGUGAUCCGGUGGUUCUGCGUGGACUGGCCAUCGCUCAAAGGAUAAAAGGUACUCCGGGGAUAACAGGCUGAUC